GACGAACGCUGGCGGCGCGCCUAACACAUGCAAGUCGAACGAGCGAGAGAGAGCUUGCUUUCUCGAGCGAGUGGCGAACGGGUGAGUAACGCGUGAGGAACCUGCCUCAAAGAGGGGGACAACAGUUGGAAACGACUGCUAAUACCGCAUAAGCCCACGGUGCCGCAUGGCACAGAUGGAAAAGGAGUAAUCCGCUUUGAGAUGGCCUCGCGUCCGAUUAGCUAGUUGGUGAGGUAACGGCCCACCAAGGCGACGAUCGGUAGCCGGACUGAGAGGUUGAACGGCCACAUUGGGACUGAGACACGGCCCAGACUCCUACGGGAGGCAGCAGUGGGGAAUAUUGCACAAUGGGGGAAACCCUGAUGCAGCGACGCCGCGUGGAGGAAGAAGGUCUUCGGAUUGUAAACUCCUGUUGUUGGGGAAGAUAAUGACGGUACCCAACAAGGAAGUGACGGCUAACUACGUGCCAGCAGCCGCGGUAAAACGUAGGUCACAAGCGUUGUCCGGAAUUACUGGGUGUAAAGGGAGCGCAGGCGGGAAGACAAGUUGGAAGUGAAAUCUAUGGGCUCAACCCAUAAACUGCUUUCAAAACUGUUUUUCUUGAGUAGUGCAGAGGUAGGCGGAAUUCCCGGUGUAGCGGUGGAAUGCGUAGAUAUCGGGAGGAACACCAGUGGCGAAGGCGGCCUACUGGGCACCAACUGACGCUGAGGCUCGAAAGUGUGGGUAGCAAACAGGAUUAGAUACCCUGGUAGUCCACACCGUAAACGAUGAUUACUAGGUGUUGGAGGAUUGACCCCUUCAGUGCCGCAGUUAACACAAUAAGUAAUCCACCUGGGGAGUACGACCGCAAGGUUGAAACUCAAAGGAAUUGACGGGGGCCCGCACAAGCAGUGGAGUAUGUGGUUUAAUUCGACGCAACGCGAAGAACCUUACCAAGUCUUGACAUCCCUUGACAGGCAUAGAAAUAUGUUUUCUCUUCGGAGCAAGGAGACAGGUGGUGCAUGGUUGUCGUCAGCUCGUGUCGUGAGAUGUUGGGUUAAGUCCCGCAACGAGCGCAACCCUUAUGGUCAGUUACUACGCAAGAGGACUCUGGCCAGACUGCCGUUGACAAAACGGAGGAAGGUGGGGAUGACGUCAAAUCAUCAUGCCCUUUAUGACUUGGGCUACACACGUACUACAAUGGCGUUAAACAAAGAGAAGCAAGACCGCGAGGUGGAGCAAAACUCAGAAACAACGUCCCAGUUCGGACUGCAGGCUGCAACUCGCCUGCACGAAGUCGGAAUUGCUAGUAAUCGUGGAUCAGCAUGCCACGGUGAAUACGUUCCCGGGCCU
RNAcentral lists this ribosomal RNA (1332 nucleotides) under uncultured bacterium. RNAcentral describes it as "bacterial SSU rRNA". It matches the Rfam family "Bacterial small subunit ribosomal RNA", at positions 28 to 1381 of the family's 1533-position model. The record is from RNAcentral.